Molecule: ribosomal RNA, 375 nt
Filed under: uncultured bacterium
Lineage: Bacteria
Description: bacterial SSU rRNA
Rfam family: Bacterial small subunit ribosomal RNA
Source: RNAcentral
GACGAACGCUGGCGGCGUGCUUAACACAUGCAAGUCGAGCGAGGCCCACCUUUCGGGGUGGUGUCCUAGCGGCGAACGGGUGAGUAACACGUGGGCAACCUGCCCUCAGCUCUGGGAUAACUCCAAGAAAUUGGGGCUAAUACCGGAUAUGACUGCUGACCGCAUGGUCUGGUGGUGGAAAGAUUUAUCGGCUGGGGAUGGGCCCGCGGCCUAUCAGCUUGUUGGUGGGGUAGNGGCCUACCAAGGCGACGACGGGUAGCCGGCCUGAGAGGGUGACCGGCCACACUGGGACUGAGACACGGCCCAGACUCCUACGGGAGGCAGCAGUGGGGAAUAUUGCGCAAUGGGCGAAAGCCUGACGCAGCGACGCCGCGU